Molecule: ribosomal RNA, 468 nt
Filed under: uncultured bacterium
Lineage: Bacteria
Description: partial 16S ribosomal RNA
Rfam family: Bacterial small subunit ribosomal RNA
Source: RNAcentral
GACGAACGCUGGCGGCGUGCUUAACACAUGCAAGUCGAACGGAAAAGCCCUGCUUUUCUGGGGUGCUCGAGUGGCGAACGGGUGAGUAACACGUGAGUAACCUGCCCUUGACUUUGGGAUAACUUCAGGAAACUGGGGCUAAUACCGGAUAGGAGCUCCUGCUGCCUGGUGGGGGUUGGAAAGUUUCUGCGGUUGGGGAUGGACUCGCGGCUUAUCAGCUUGUUGGUGGGGUAGUGGCUUACCAAGGCGUUGACGGGUAGCCGGCCUGAGAGGGUGACCGGCCACAUUGGGACUGAGAUACGGCCCAGACUCCUACGGGAGGCAGCAGUGGGGAAUAUUGCACAAUGGGCGGAAGCCUGAUGCAGCAACGCCGCGUGCGGGAUGACGGCCUUCGGGUUGUAAACCGCUUUCGCCAGUGACGAAGCGUGAGUGACGGUAAUGGGUAAAAAAGCACCGGCUAACUACGUG